This 1160-nucleotide unclassified non-coding RNA is filed under the name Hevea brasiliensis (rubber tree). Lineage: Eukaryota; Viridiplantae; Streptophyta; Magnoliopsida; Malpighiales; Euphorbiaceae. The record is from RNAcentral.
GGUGUUUGAUGCAUAUUGAAGCAAUUGAGAAAACGGUAGAAUAUUUGUAUACAUAUUAUUAGUGAAUUCGGUUUAGACAAGACGACGAGGCCCUACCAGCAAUAUCUUUCGAAAAUCACUGUUUGGAUCACUUCCUUCUUACGUUUGGGGAACUGUGGGAGCUAUUUUUUUCAUUUCUUUCGGAAGAAUUCUCAUCUGAAUUAUGCAUUAUUCAUCGUUAAAUCUCAUCUAAACUGAAUUUACUUACAACAAUUGGAGGAAGUGAAUUGCCAUUAGAGGCGAAUAAUUUGAAGUUAGUUUUACAGAAGAUUUGGCAGUUGUUAAUGCGCCUCCAAUUUUCGUUGGAGGCGGAUCUGCACUUUAAAGAGAUUUGGAUACAGAAUUUUCCAGAUUUACGCAACGACUUAAUCAGCGAAAUUCGGUUGAAUUGUGUGUAAUUACUUGAUCUGGCGAAUACACAAUUCAAGUGUGUGGAUGGAGCUGCCUCAGCCCAGACCUUUUGGAACAGAAGGGAGGAAGACGACUCAUGACUUUCUUUCACUGUAUUCACCUGUUCAACAAGAUCCAAGACCUCCCCAAGGUGGCUACCUGAAGACUCAUGACUUCUUGCAACCACUGGAGCAAGCAGAGAAGACAUUAAGGGAAGAAGAAACCAAUGUUGAAGUAGCAACUGUGGAGAAGCCUCCGCCACCAGUAGCUGCUACUCCUUCAGGGGAGCAUAUUCUUCCUGGUGGCAUAGGCACCUUCAGUAUUUCUUAUUUGCACCAAAGGAUACCAAAACCAGAGGCAAGCUUGUUCUCUGUAGCACAAGCAAGUAGUACCGACAGAAAUGAUGAAAAUUCAAACUGUAGUUCUUACACAGGGAGUGGUUUCACACUGUGGGAUGAAUCUGCAGUCAAGAAGGGAAAGACAGGGAAGGAGAAUUCUGGGGGUGAUCGACACGUCCUAAGAGAAGGAGGUGUGAACACUGGAGGUGUUCAGCCAACGACAUCAUUAGAGUGGCAGUCACAAUCAUCUUCAAAUCAUAAGCACAACACUACGGCCUUAAGUUCGCUCUCAUCUGCUCAUCAAUCAUCGCCCCUUAAGAGCCAAAGUUUCUUGCAUAUGAUAACAUCAGCAAAGAGUGCACAAGAUGACGAUGAUGAUGAUGAUGAAGAUUU